Gopherus evgoodei (Goodes thornscrub tortoise) is the source of this 1061-nucleotide long non-coding RNA. RefSeq lists it as uncharacterized. The transcript is spliced from 3 exons. NCBI's taxonomy places the organism in Eukaryota, Metazoa, Chordata, Testudines, Testudinidae. The record is from RefSeq and is a predicted model, not a curated record.
CCUGAUGAUCACCGGCUGAACUUCCUGGUCACAGGAUGCUGUUGAAUCCCUUCGUAAUUGGGAUACCGGGCUGGGGCGCUGCUGCUGCUCCCCAGCGGAAUCUGUGAGGGGAGAGAUCUGCAGUUCCCCCGCCUUCUAUGCCCAGCCCGGGGGGACUUUCUGCGGCAGCUGGACCCAGCCCCUGGGGCAGCCCCGGACUCUGCCGACACCAGCCCCUGAGCCGGAGCCUGCAGGAAAGAGGUGGAGCAUCCCUGAGAUACUGUGGACGUUGCAGUGGUGUUUUCUGACUUUCUGAAGACACGUCUCAAAAGGAGGUACAGACAUUCCAGACUCCAACUGGCAGAAGCGGCUUAUGACUUGCUGUUGCCACAGAUUCUCCAUAUAUAGACCUGUGCUUCUGAAGCAGGGCCAUAAGUACAGACUGGUGGGACCACGUUGUCUUGCGGACCUGGGAAGACCAGGAGGGGCUCCAGAACUUUCUCAUGGAGAAGCAGAGAUUCCUGGAGCCGUGUGAUCAGCUUGCCACAACCCUCUUGGGUCAGAACACACACAUGAGGGAGGUCGUGCUGGUCCAGAAGCAGGUGGCUAUAGCCAUCGGGAUGGAAGUGGACUACUCCUGACUGCUAGAGGUCCAUGGCUAACCAGUUUGGUGUGGGAUUUCUGAUUCACCCUUUGUGAUCUCCUGGAUGGAAUGAGGCGAUGAGCUGUGAGUCCCAGAUCUUCAAGGAUUUGAGGGACUGGAGAUCCCAGGAGGCACGUGCGCCAGUGGGGAACUCAUUCAAGCAACUUAGAAGCCCUCAGGUGCGUGAAUUAAAAAGCUAGGAUUCCUGCCUGGAGUUCCCCCAGUUCUGCCUGAUAUCACCCCAGGUCUCCAGCAGAUAUUGUAUCCUCCUGGCAGAUGCUGUUCAUGGCUUCCUACUCACCCUUGUCAAUAAGUUCCCUCCCUUCCCACUUCCUUUCUCUGGGGGUUCAGACAGGCUGAAUUGGCAGGAUUGGCUCCUCUUCUCUCUCCUCUGGGUGAAUUGGAGGGUUUGGGGGGGAUUUGACUCUUGUUUUUCAUC